This is a long non-coding RNA of Photinus pyralis (common eastern firefly), 883 nucleotides long. RefSeq lists it as uncharacterized. The record is from RefSeq and is a predicted model, not a curated record. The transcript is spliced from 4 exons. Lineage: Eukaryota; Metazoa; Arthropoda; Insecta; Coleoptera; Lampyridae.
GGCAGAAAGUGCAUCGCAUCACAGAUGAUAAGACGAACGUUCUCAGCUUCAUUUUACAAUUUUCCUUCAUUCGGGUCUUUGGCGGGGAGUUGUGUUGUGGCGUACUUACGUAACGUAAUGUCAUUGACAUUGGAUGAUAAGUGUUAAUUAAUACCUAAAGGACUGUAAGUAUUUUUUUGGAACAAUGCCGAGAAGAUCAGUUAGAAUUUUGUCGAUGCUCAAAAAUCCCGUCCAUCCGUAAGACAGCAUCCAGGAUGAAUAUGAUCUUCAAGACAUCGAACGUUGUCAAGAUGCCCUAAAUCCUGAAGAAAACCGAAUCGCACCAAUACAGACUACAGGGGAAAUUAUGGAGGAGAUAGAUUUGAUAAAACCAAAUACAAAAGGUAAACUCCAGCAUAAAUCUCUAGUAGCGCGCCAUAUGGUCUUCAGAAGAAAAAUCAGCUGUCUUAGGUUUUUUCAACCAAGAAAUUAAAAAAAGAUCUAGUACCCGGAGAAGCUCAAUGUGAAAAGUGCUUAGAAGAACAUGAUGUUUUGCCCACAAGAUCAUGGACCGGCGUAAAAUUCUGCAUUAAAAACCAUCUAGACAAGAGAAAAGAUGAGUGUCUUUACUCAUAGAAAGUUAAAAACUGCCUUUGUUGUACUAUAGUGCGGCAUUUUACACGUUUAAUCUAUUUCUUAUUACUAAAAAAUGUACAGGUACUAGCUAGCUUUACUGAAAGCAUUGAAUUUAUAGAUAGUUAUCAAUUCAAUGCUGAAAGUACCAUUGCUGUACUAAUUAAGAUUAUUGUAGUUUUCUGAAACAUUUUUAAUUUUUCUGUUGUUCAUUGGGAUUUAUAAAAUUCCUUCUGUAUUUGUGUAUAUAGCCAACUGAAUAAAGAUUUCU